UUAUAUUUGCAGGGCGACUGAGCCGCUGAGCGAGGAAGAGUUAAAGCAGGCGCGGGAGGGGUCGCCGCCGGCGAACUCCAAGGUCUUCUGCGUGUGCCCGGAAGGGUGGUCGUGUGUGGUUUCCAAGACUGCCGGCAAGAUUCAGUUCGAGUGCGGCGAAGGUUGUGCCUGUGUCGGCGGAGAAAACGACACCGUCAAAAUUGCUUCUGUCUAAUAUUAUAUUAUUGCUUAGCAAUCUUUAAGGUGUGUUUGCUUUUUCCGGUGGGUUAGUAUCUCUUUCCUGCCAUUAUUAUGUACCUACGAAUAAUAAGAUGAGCUCUCAGCCUAGUUGUUAGUUCAUAGUUGUCUCAAACUAAGACAAUUAUAUUGCUCGGAGACAACUAUCCAACUAACUUAAUUGAGAUUGCUCUAUUAUCUAUGUAUUAUGUCAUAUAUGCUAGUUUAUUUGUGUGUA
Molecule: long non-coding RNA, 454 nt
Organism: Ipomoea nil (Japanese morning glory)
Lineage: Eukaryota; Viridiplantae; Streptophyta; Magnoliopsida; Solanales; Convolvulaceae
Exons: 2
Source: RefSeq, a predicted model, not a curated record